GAUGAACGCUGGCGGCGUGCCUAAUACAUGCAAGUCGAGCGAACAGACGAGGAGCUUGCUCCUCUGACGUUAGCGGCGGACGGGUGAGUAACACGUGGAUAACCUACCUAUAAGACUGGGAUAACUUCGGGAAACCGGAGCUAAUACCGGAUAAUAUAUUGAACCGCAUGGUUCAAUAGUGAAAGACGGUUUUGCUGUCACUUAUAGAUGGAUCCGCGCCGCAUUAGAUAGUUGGUAAGGUAACGGCUUACCAAGGCAACGAUGCGUAGCCGAACUGAGAGGGGGAUCGGCCACACUGGAAGGGAGCCACGGUCCAGACUCCUACGGGAGGGAGCAGUAGGGAAUCUGCCGCAAUGGGCGAGAGCAUGACGGAGCAAGGCGGCGUGAGUGAUGAAGGUCUUCGGAUCGUGAAACUGUGUUAUUAGGGAAGAACAAAUGUGUAAGUAACUAUGCACGUCUUGACGGUACCUAAUCAGAAAGCCACGGCUAACUACGUG
RNAcentral lists this ribosomal RNA (497 nucleotides) under uncultured bacterium. RNAcentral's name for it is "partial 16S ribosomal RNA". It matches the Rfam family "Bacterial small subunit ribosomal RNA", at positions 28 to 507 of the family's 1533-position model. The record is from RNAcentral.